CCUACGGGAGGCAGCAGUGGGGGAUAUUGCACAAUGGGGGAAACCCUGAUGCAGCGACGCCGCGUGUGGGAAGACGGUCCUCUGGAUUGUAAACCACUGUCCUCAGGGACGAAGAUGACGGUACCUGGGGAGGAAGCUCCGGCUAACUACGUGCCAUCAGCCGCGGUAAUACGUAGGGAGCAAGCGUUGUCCGGAAUUACGGGGGGUACAGGGAGCGUAGGGGGGAUGGCAAGUUGGGUGUUAAAUCUACCGGCUCAACUGGUAGUCGCACUCAAAACUGCUAUUCUUGAGUGAAGUAGGGGCAGGCGGAAUUCCUAGUGGAGCGGUGAAAUGCGUAGAGAUGAGGAGGAACACCAGUGGCGAAGGCAGCCUGCUGGGCUUUUACUGACGCUGAGGCGCGAAAGUGUGGGGAGCAAACAGGAUUAGAUACCCGAGUAGUC
Molecule: ribosomal RNA, 440 nt
Filed under: uncultured bacterium
Lineage: Bacteria
Description: partial 16S ribosomal RNA
Rfam family: Bacterial small subunit ribosomal RNA
Source: RNAcentral